Molecule: non-coding RNA, 1219 nt
Organism: Anas platyrhynchos (mallard)
Lineage: Eukaryota; Metazoa; Chordata; Aves; Anseriformes; Anatidae
Source: RefSeq, a predicted model, not a curated record
UGUAUUGAUGAAACUGCAAAAGAAGAGGAUCCCUACUCAAACACAGGGCAGAAAAAUCAAAACUGAAGUCUCAGUCACCCCAGAUAGGAGCUAGGGGAUGCUUAGAUUUAAAUAAGAAAGUUGGUAGGAAGGAAGAGGAAGGAAGAUAAUUGGUAGAACACUAAUAUCAACGCACGAAAUGUGCAGGAAACUGGAGUUGUUCCCAUUGCUGGAGGUCUGUUGCUGUCCAGGAUGCUCCCCUGGACACUUUUUAAAAAAAAAAACUCCUUUUGGGGGAGCGGCCAGCUGGGAAUGGUCUGGGACAAGAUGAGAAGGCUGAGCAGAGCUGUGGAGUUACUGGGAUGUGAUGAGCAAAAGGCCACCUGGGCAGAAAAACACCAUCAGGUGUUAAGCCUUGCUUCACCCACUCUGUGAUCACAUACAAAUCACUCUCAGCAGCCACUUCACCCCAUCUCCUGCUUCAGUGGAAGGAAACGUAUGGCUACAUGUACUUUCACACCCACACCUUUACUGUCUGCACAGGAUUUCCAAAAGUAGCUUUCCAGACAGUGCUAAAUUCUGCUCCAAGCUCCCCAGGCAGCAUUACAUGUCUUUUUGAGCCCUGGCCCUUGGACCUGCCUUGUAGCCCUGUCUCCAGACCCUUCUGCUCCAGACUGGGCUCGCUGAAUGGACCCAGGUUCCUGCUGGCUGUGCUGAGACCCUAGGGGACUGUGCCCUGUUGGUGAGGACAUGGCCAGUGCUGGGAUCCCCUUGGCUCCUGGCUCAUCCCCUUCUUGUCCUGCUUUCUGAACCGCACUGGUGAGAUGAGAGCACAAAGACAACAGUUACACUAAAUGCCUGCGGGAAGGGUCACAAAGCAUCUCUGCUGGGUCUGACUGGGGAACAGGCAGGAAGCAAGCGCUGAAUGUGGACUGGACCCAUGGUCACACAUGGCAGAAGAUGUGGAAGUCCUUCAAUGAGCUGCAGUCAGAUGGGGACACCUCUGCCCUCUGAGGCUGAGAGGAGUCUAGGUCAUUGCCUCUGGUGGAAGCACUACCUUGCUCUUGCAGUCUUGCAUGUGUCAUGUAUUUUCAAGGCACUGAGGCAUAACUUUAGGGGAGAGGCAGCACUUCAGAAUCUGCAGCUUUCCCAUAGGAGAAAAAUACCAUUUAAAUACCAACCCACAACAAUUGUUCAGAUAUCCAGUUAUUAUGCAGCAAUUGAAAAACAAACAAACAAA